GACGAACGCUGGCGGCGUGCCUAAUACAUGCAAGUUGAGCGCUGAAGGCUGGUACUUGUACCAACUGGAUGAGCAGCGAACGGGUGAGUAACGCGUGGGGAAUCUGCCUUUGAGCGGGGGACAACAUUUGGAAACGAAUGCUAAUACCGCAUAAAAACUUUAAACACAAGUUUUAAGUUUGAAAGAUGCAAUUGCAUCACUCAAAGAUGAUCCCGCGUUGUAUUAGCUAGUUGGUGAGGUAAAGGCGCACCAAGGCGAUGAUACAUAGCCGACCUGAUAGGGUGGUCGGCCAGAUUGGGACUGAGACACGGCCCAAAGGGCUACGGGAGGCAGCAGUAGGGAAUCGUCGGCAAUGGACGAAAGUCUGACCGAGCAACGCCGCGUGAGUGAAGAAGGUUGUCGGAUCGUAAAACUCUGUUGGUAGAGAAGAACGUUGGUGAGAGUGGGAAGCUCAUCAAGUGACGGUAACUACCCAGAAAGGAACGGCUAACUACGUG
This 497-nucleotide ribosomal RNA is filed under the name uncultured bacterium. Its description in RNAcentral is "partial 16S ribosomal RNA". It matches the Rfam family "Bacterial small subunit ribosomal RNA", at positions 28 to 507 of the family's 1533-position model. The record is from RNAcentral.